Non-coding RNA from Zootermopsis nevadensis, 2860 nucleotides. Lineage: Eukaryota; Metazoa; Arthropoda; Insecta; Blattodea; Termopsidae. The record is from RefSeq and is a predicted model, not a curated record.
UCCCCAGAGAAAACAUUUCAAUACAACGUCUUUCCUCUGCGUCUCUAGAAGAGACUUCUGUGGAGUGCGUAGAUAUUGCAGCACUCUGUUCAAUCAUCUGUUUAGAGUGGCUGUUAGCUGAACACUGUCUCAUUCGUUAUACAGUCAGUCAGUUCUUUCAGGAUGUUGGUGACAGUGGUUUACGAACAUGAAUGCUUUACUCUGCUAGUCUCCAAGUGGCUGCGAUCUGAGUUUAAUCAGGGCAACACGUUUUGAUAAAUUUGAACUGAAUGGAGAGAAAACAGAAGCAGCCAAGUUUGAAAGGGGCUUGCAGACUCCAUUUACAUGUACGCAGUAGUUGCUGCUGCGAAGGGUGAGAUAUACAUCUGUGGAACCGAGGCCGCCAGCAGAACCAUUGCCCAUACCACAGAUGAUACAUGAGUGAAUAUGGAGCAGCGGUGGAUUGAUACUGACAGGCGCAAACCGAAGGCCACGGAGUGAAAUCUGCCCCAGUGCCAAUUUGUCGACCACAAAUCCCACAUUCCACAUGGAAUGCCCCAGGAGUAAAUCCGGGCUCCGUGGUUUGAAACCGACGACUAACCUCGUGUUCACGGCCUUCUAGAGGUGUCAUCCUAAUGAGUUUUGUUUUUAUAAAAGCUGUUUUCUUUGAAUGCAGGUUAAAUCAAUAGAAGAUUCAUUAUAUAUUUGGCAUAAAUUUCCUUCAUGAAGCUGCAUACAAUACUUGAAUUCAAUGUUUUCCGUUAUCACUAUUAGCACUCUGAAGAAGAACAGAAAAUUGUGGUAGAAAAGUGAGAGGCACUUUAAUUCUAAUGGGGAGAAAGAACAUAUUUUUGUUAGAAGGUUCGCAGGCAAUGACAGCUCGUCUUUCAGAUAAGGAUAGAAUAAAAGUGAAGGAGUUAAUUUUAUAAAUAGGGACAACUUGAAAACAGAGACAACGGAAUUUUGAUUUGUUUGUUAGUGAAUGUUAGUAAAGUAAUUUAGUGGCUUCCACAGUAAGGAGGUGGGGGAUUUUGUUGAAUUGGAAUUGGCCUGACUGCAUGAGAAGUUAAAGCUCGCCUAAAUACUAUUUUACAUUCAGUUCGUACCUCAAAUAAAACGCAGAACCUGCCCAUUGCAGAGGCCAGAUCAUUUAAACAGUUCAAAUUCGCAUGGUUACAUGGAGCGAAUUAAUGUUAACAUACUACGAAAUUUAAAACGUUACAUAUUAAUUAAAUAAAGGCUGUCAGGUUUCUGCAAAAACGUUAUAAAAUAACAACAGUAAAAUUAUAGGAGUAAGAUUUACUAAGUUAUAGAAUUUAAAUGUGCGCCGCCUAGCACUACGAAUUGUUUUUAGAGUGCUUUAAAAUGUUGUGAUAACAUAAGCAUAAUAGACUUGUUGGCUGGGUAAACGCCUGAAUAAACCGUGCCUACCGACCCGCUUCUCAGCAGUGUCUGAAGAGUUGCAGCAUGCGCACGGCGCUUUGUCUUAUGUAAUCUGUUAAAAAACCGAAACAAAUCCACGUCUUUCAUUGCCCCCUAGUAAUCUAUACAUUAUUAUAAUUUAAAGACACGCCCUGUUUUCAUGAAACAUAGUAACAAUAAAAAUAUCUGGACUUAUUCCCUUCAUGACAGUUAAUAUUCCUACGAUGUUUCCCGGAAAUACGUUUCAGUACCGACAUUAUAUCCCGUCUAACUAAGGACAGCCGGUGGCGAAAAUUGGAAACUGUUUCUUGUUGGUUGGUGACGUAAACUAUACAGCAAUGCAGUUCUGCGCAUAUAGCCUCUCCCUUGCCCUCUCUACUCCCCUCUAGAGCCGAUAAACGACGUAAACUUAAUCGAGUGAACCUCCGACGAAUUAAGCAAUCGUAUCCAGACAUGAUAAAACUCAAGUUCUGUCUCUGUGCUUGCCAAAUGGUAUCUUUUCAAGGCAUGUUCCGCACAAAAUGACAGUCUUUUAUUUUCUACAUCCACGAUACAAGUUUUGUACAUUUAAAACCCAAGUUAAUUAUGAAACUUUGCCCCAUGUAUUUUUUGAAAUUAACCUCUAACUUCUUCUUUUGUCCAAUUUUUUUGCUCAAUAUUUCGAAUGAGGCAUUUUUAUAACUUGUCCUUUUCUCAGUGUGAGCGACCAAGUUUUACACUCAUACGAAAGUUUAAAGAAUUGUUGGUUUACACACUGUACUUAUUGCCAUAAUUUGAGGGGUAGUAAGAACUUCAAAACGUCUGUAAAAUUUUACCAGAGUGUGAACUCGCCGCCGUGGUAACCUGAAAUAACACUUUGAAGUUACAUUUUGGGUAGAGGACGAAAAGGUAAAUUUGAUAGCUUGAAGUGGGUUUAUUCUGUGAAACAUGACGUUCCCACGGCAACUAGUUUGAGUAUGACUGUCUUCUGGGUUGUUUCGCAGUCUAGUAUGGUAUAAGUUUACAGACUUUUCAGAGGUGAUACUGUCUCCAUCAUCAGGGCUAUAAGAAAAUCGGCAAGUACCUCUUAAACGUCGCUAAACGUCUACAAUACUGUACCCAGUCAGUCACAUUCACUGACUUUAUUCUGUUCGAAGUUCAGGCCGUAAUAACACGAAUGUUAUAGUGGCCUCUGGUAUACGUACAGUAUUAUGUACAGUAGAUAUAAAAUGUAGUGAAGAAAUUGAAUAGGCCUAUUGUAUUUAAAAAUAUAAAAGAGAGGUAUAUCUGAUUUAAGUUUAUUUAAACCUGUAUAAUAAUUUCAGUUUAAAGUUCAAUGUAUGUUCAACCAAAAUGCCAUUUAUUGAACGGUUCUGUAGGGUUGAGAACGUAAAUUAAUCACGGUUGUAUAUCCGUAUAUUUCUGUGUUCUCAUUCAUAUUUAGUAAUUAAAAUUUCGUAAGCAUCAACAAUUCCAUUCA